Bombyx mori (domestic silkworm) is the source of this 2010-nucleotide long non-coding RNA. RefSeq lists it as uncharacterized. The record is from RefSeq and is a predicted model, not a curated record. The transcript has 2 exons. Lineage: Eukaryota; Metazoa; Arthropoda; Insecta; Lepidoptera; Bombycidae.
CAAAUAACCUUGCACCCCCUUGAUAUUAUUAUGACUUUUAAUUAAUAAGUUCCUACGACUAUAAUGUUUAUUGGUUCUAUUAGUUAGUUUAUGUGUUGCUCAUAACAAAGAAACGAAAUUUAAAUUUUGUUUUAUUGUAAUUUAGUAAUAUCAUUGUAGAUGGGAAUCACCCCUAAUAUUUUUACUUCACUCAACGCUAUAUUUUUAGUUUUUAUCUCUGUCGUCGCUGCCUCAUUAAAAUUCCACAUUACACCCGAACUCCCUUUCCAAUAGCGCGAGUGUGGCAAAAAUUCAAAUUAAAGAAUGUACACUUUCCAUACAUUAGGGUGAUUAUACAAAAAUUGGGUAACUCUAUGUCAUCAGCCAAUAUAUACAAAGUCUUAUUAUAUUUUAUUGAAAUACCAAUUUAUUUUAAAACAACGAAACGUCCUUUAUUUGGUCACCCAAUUUCACUUCUUUAUUUUAAAUACAAGUUAGUAAAAAAACCAAAUUAAUACUUAAAACGUCAGUCCUUUGGCAUGUCACAAUCCCGAAAACUAACAAUCAAGUGACUAUCCAUUAAACAUUAUCAUUGAUUUAAGAAAACUUACUAAUUUACUACAAUCUGUGAUGUACAUAGUAUUAUAUACUACAACUUUCAUAAUGCAAUGUUCUCCAUUUUAUUUUAAAAAAAAUAAGAAACUUUGUGUUCGUUUCAUUGGUCAGUCCGUUGUGUGUUCUUUAAAAUUUGAAAAUCUCGCCAAAUAUCAUCGAGUCAAGGUCAAAUCCCUGUUUAAGCUUUAAUGUUGAUAAUGAAGUUAGUGUCGGACCGCACAAUUUGACGGUCGCCAUAACUAUAUCAGUGCUUGGGUUGUGUUUGUCGUCUACACACGUGCGAAGCCAGUCAAAAUUUCAGUCCUGUGUGUAAAACAUCAUGCGACACUCUAAAAAACUAGGGAAGAAAUAUUAAAAAAAAAGAGAGAAGCCGGAAAGGCUCGCUUGGACAGAAUUAAAAGUGAUCCUAUUAAAUUAACGGAAUACAAAAAAAAACCAAAAUUUCAGUACUUAAGGGAAAAAAAGAAAGGACAAAGAAAAAAUGUUAAAGACAUGACACCAACCAACGAAUAACUAGAAAAAAAAGGGAAAAAAUAUUCAUACAGGCAAAGAAAACAGCUAUUGAAACCAACCACUAAUAAUUUUAUAUGCCAGAAUACUCCUCCACUAACUGACGACGAAAUACGACCCAUAGUUAAUCAAGCAAUCAGACCUGUUAUUAACGAAGAACAAAGAUCAAAAGAAGCCAAAAGGAGAAGUGAAAGACAGAGAAAAUCUUGAAACAGGGAAAUAAAAAAGAUGGAGGCUAUAGUUUCAAAGCUUAAAGCUAAACUAAAUACUCAGCGUCAAAAAUGUACGAGUCAAAAAACAGCUAAAUUACUAUUACUAAAAAAGUAAUAAAAUCUGUUAAAAAAACGCCAAAGACCGGAAUUGAAGACAUGAGAGACCAAUAUCUCAUAAAUAAAACAAAAUAUCAUUAUACAGCGGUCUGCUCUUCGGUUGAUGAUGAAGACGGUGAAGUAAGAGUAACUUUUCUCAAAAUUUGUAAUCACAAUGGCACUCUGUUCAAAGUGGAUGAAAAAGAUGUAUCAGAUGUUCCCGUGGAUCAAAUAAUAAUAAAAUAAUAAAAAAUACCCGUACCAAACCUCAUUACAAAAGGGAUGAGGGGUUUUUUACCAAUUUAAGGAUAAAAUGAUGUUUUCGAAAAUAUACAUGUUUCCAUUGUUUGUUGAUUACUUGAACUUUUAAGUAAAACUAAGUAAAAGUAGUAAAAGCUAAGUGAAUAACUUUACGUUAAAUUUCAAAAGGCUGUAUUGAAAAUUGAGAUAGUAUUUUCUCCCAGUAUUACAUAUAAUAUUAAUAAUUAUUUUUAAUUGUUACUAAGUGAUUAUAAUACUUAAAAGACAUGUGCCAUUAUUAUUAAAAAUAAGAGAUUUGUAUUAUUUUUUAUUAAAUUUCAUUAUAAUUCUUACAAAA